AUACAUACAAACAACAUUAAAUGGACUCAGC
Molecule: non-coding RNA, 31 nt
Filed under: Rattus norvegicus (Norway rat)
Lineage: Eukaryota; Metazoa; Chordata; Mammalia; Rodentia; Muridae
Source: RNAcentral